RNAcentral lists this ribosomal RNA (642 nucleotides) under uncultured Enterobacteriaceae bacterium. RNAcentral describes it as "bacterial SSU rRNA". It matches the Rfam family "Bacterial small subunit ribosomal RNA", at positions 28 to 659 of the family's 1533-position model. The record is from RNAcentral. Lineage: Bacteria; Pseudomonadati; Pseudomonadota; Gammaproteobacteria; Enterobacterales; Enterobacteriaceae.
AUUGAACGCUGGCGGCAGGCCUAACACAUGCAAGUCGAACGGUAACAGGAAGCAGCUUGCUGCUUCGUUGACGAGUGGCGGACGGGUGAGUAAUGUCUGGGAAACUGCCUGAUGGAGGGGGAUAACUACUGGAAACGGUAGCUAAUACCGCAUAACGUCGCAAGACCAAAGAGGGGGACCUUCGGGCCUCUUGCCAUCGGAUGUGCCCAGAUGGGAUUAGCUAGUAGGUGGGGUAACGGCUCACCUAGGCGACGAUCCCUAGCUGGUCUGAGAGGAUGACCAGCCACACUGGAACUGAGACACGGUCCAGACUCCUACGGGAGGCAGCAGUGGGGAAUAUUGCACAAUGGGCGCAAGCCUGAUGCAGCCAUGCCGCGUGUAUGAAGAAGGCCUUCGGGUUGUAAAGUACUUUCAGCGGGGAGGAAGGCGAUAAGGUUAAUAACCUUGUCGAUUGACGUUACCCGCAGAAGAAGCACCGGCUAACUCCGUGCCAGCAGCCGCGGUAAUACGGAGGGUGCAAGCGUUAAUCGGAAUUACUGGGCGUAAAGCGCACGCAGGCGGUCUGUCAAGUCGGAUGUGAAAUCCCCGGGCUCAACCUGGGAACUGCAUUCGGAACUGGCAGGCUAGAGUCUUGUAGAGGGG